This 1780-nucleotide long non-coding RNA is filed under the name Triticum aestivum (bread wheat). Its description in RNAcentral is "long non-coding RNA (TAES_LNC008839)". The record is from RNAcentral. Lineage: Eukaryota; Viridiplantae; Streptophyta; Magnoliopsida; Poales; Poaceae.
UCUGAUGUUACAAAGAAGCACAUCAGCACUGCGACACCACGCCUGCGAUACUAUACUUGCUCUAUGCUAGCAGCGGAACAACUCGUAGCAGCGGAAUACUUCUAGCAGCGGAACAACGACGAAGGUGGUGAACUCCACUCUGCAGGGACUCUAGCUGGGACACAAUCUAGCUCGCACGCAUGGCAACCUCGACAAGCAAUCGAGCAAUCAUGGCAUCACCUGCAAUCUGGCAUGACACGCCAGGUCAGUACAUUGAAUGUACUUGCAAGCUCACAACAACCAUAAACAUCAAGGCAAGACAAUAACAUAGCAUUAACAGGUUAAUUAAUUAACAACUACCAGGAUGAAGCAACUACUAAGCAUGAUAUGAAACUACUACAAUACUAAUAAAUCACCAUCUCAGAUUUCCAUAACCAUAUCUCUCUUGGCUAACCGGACAAGCAAUAUACCAUCUCGAUCACCUCGCGAUCACAACCACGACCAACACUUGGUCUCAAACGUGAUCCUUCCGGCGAUCACUACCAUGACCAACACUUGGUCUCCAUCAUCAUCAACAUCCUGCCAAUCUGUACUGCUCAACAUAUCAACAUAUCAACAUAUAAAUCACCUAUAAGUCAUUCCGUCAUGUGAGUGUUGAUCGAACGGUGGGACCUAGUACGAACCCAUGCCCAUGACCGAGGACGCGGCUAUCGAUAGAUUUAAUUACACACACUCUGCAGAGGUAGCGCACUUUACCCACACCACGGAACCCAUGGCCUCGCACUCCCAUUUGGGUACCGAUCUACUGCCAUGACACUCUCCCAGCCACUCAGACCCACUCCCAACUGGGCUAGUCCUGGGUGGCCCCGUGUCUACCAAAGACACAACGACCACCGUCGUGGCCAAAACAUCUCUCACGGGGACCGGAUCCAUAACAACAACAAGGGGCACACAAGGUUAUGUCUGCUUACCGGGCCAGGGUAAGCAUGCCCAUAACCUUCCCUAGUUGGAGGCACCGACGAGAGGCACGACAAUAGACCACAUUAGGGCCUUCCCAUAAAAGGCAAAUGUGGUUGCACUGGAAAAAGCCCAGUUCGGUGGCACCUGACCAACUUAAUGACGGAAUUUAACCCCAAAAUAUAGUAGUAAUGACUGAUACUCCGAUAUCAUCUAUCAACCUAUAAUCCAAGUCAUAGCAAUAUCCAACAAAUAAUCCAAGCAUAAUCUCAUCAUCUCAAAAUACUCCAAGGGUAGCACAACACUACUAUCAUGAUGAAUAGGAAAACAAUAGUCCUACUACUCCAAUAACAAGAAUAAAGCUAUUCGGCUAAGAUCCACAUGUACACAUCAUCUCCAAAAAUAAUACUCCAAGUAACAGAACAUCAACUAGCAUCAUGAAAAUAAGCAUACUAACCACUAAUAAUCCAAAGGCAGCAUGAUAUCCAAAGUAAUACUCCAAAAUAAUACCAGAUACCAUCAUGAGGAAUAAACAUAAUAGCCACUAAGAAUCCAAAGGCACAUGUCAUCCACAUAAUCAUCAAAAUAUUAAUCCUAGAACUCCAAGCAAUAUCAUGGCAAUAUCAAGAUCAAACAAUACUCCGAGAAUUGCCAUGAACAAAUCAUACAUAGCUAACACAAUAUUUUAAACAAGUUCAAAUGAAUAAACCACGUCACUGCAUUGCAAUCAUGCAAAUGGAGGGUGUGGCUUGCCUGGGGUGGAAGAAAUCACCGGGAGAAAGUGCGAGAAGCUCGCGGAACGAAUCGCGGGAAACAGAUCUCUCUCGGAAGGGGCUGAUUAAGG